Molecule: ribosomal RNA, 495 nt
Filed under: uncultured bacterium
Lineage: Bacteria
Description: partial 16S ribosomal RNA
Rfam family: Bacterial small subunit ribosomal RNA
Source: RNAcentral
GACGAACGCUGGCGGCGUGCCUAAUACAUGCCAGUAGAACGCUGAAGGAGGAGCUUGCUUCUCUGGAUGAGUUGCGAACGGGUGAGUAACGCGUAGGUAACCUGCCUGGUAGCGGGGGAUAACUAUUGGAAACGAUAGCUAAUACCGCAUAAGAGUAGAUGUCGCAUGACAUUUGCUUAAAAGGUGCAAUUGCCUCACUACCAGAUGGACCUGCGUUGUAUUAGCUAGUUGGUGAGGUAACGGCUCACCAAGGCAACGAUACAUAGCCGACCUGAGAGGGUGAUCGGCCACACUGGGACUGAGACACGGCCCAGACUCCUACGGGAGGCAGCAGUAGGGAAUCUUCGGCAAUGGACGGAAGGCUGACCGAGCAACGCCGCGUGAGUGAAGAAGGUUUUCGGAUCGUAAAGCUCUGUUGUAAGAGAAGAACGAGUGUGAGAGUGGAAAGUUCACACUGUGACGGUAUCUUACCAGAAAGGGACGGCUAACUACGUG